Molecule: long non-coding RNA, 459 nt
Organism: Zingiber officinale
Lineage: Eukaryota; Viridiplantae; Streptophyta; Magnoliopsida; Zingiberales; Zingiberaceae
Exons: 3
Source: RefSeq, a predicted model, not a curated record
UGCAUUCUCUUGCCAAUGGACCAGAGGUAACGAAGCCACUCUUGGAGACAUCUAGAAGAGGGUAUCUUGCUACAAUUUCAGCUUCGAGUUACUCUUUUGUCUCCCUGCUUCGGCACUUUCUUCCAAUAAUGAAUCCAGGUUUCUUUCGAUUCCAUGAAAACAAAACAAUUGCAUGUUCCAUUUGUGUGUAUAUUUCAACUUGAGAUCCUGACAAGAACAUCAUUAUCAAUCCAUCAUUAUAUCUUCUUCUUUACGGACAGAAUAAAGCAAUGCUAGUAGUUAUAAUAAAACCCAAAAUAAAGUUAUCAAACAAUUCCUUUUCUUGUUGGCACAUAGAUUUUAUAUCUCAUCUUCACUUUGUUUUGGAUGUCUCCGUUAAACAUGGCAAGCGGUGCUUCAAUAUCUUUGACAUACAUAGCUUCCGAAAGGGCAAUCCCAGGAUACGGAGGUGGAAUGAGC